This 253-nucleotide ribosomal RNA is filed under the name uncultured bacterium. RNAcentral describes it as "partial 16S ribosomal RNA". It matches the Rfam family "Bacterial small subunit ribosomal RNA", at positions 524 to 776 of the family's 1533-position model. The record is from RNAcentral.
GACGAACCGUACGAACGUUAUUCGGAAUUACUGGGCUUAAAGGGUGCGUAGGCUGCGCAGCAAGUUGGGUGUGAAAUCCCACGGCUCAACCGUGGAACGGCUGGGUAUACUGCCUGUCUUGAGCCAACUAGGGGCGAGCGGAACAGACGGUGGAGCGGUGAAAUGCGUAGACAUCGUGUGGAACGCCGAAGGUGAAAACAGCUCGCUGGGGUUGUGCUGACGCUGAGACACGAAAGCCAGGGGAGCGAACGGG